GAAAUGCGAUAAGUAAUGUGAAUUGCAGAAUUCAGUGAAUCAUCGAAUCUUUGAACGCACCUUGCGCUCCUUGGUAUUCCGAGGAGCAUGCCUGUUUGAGUGUCAUGGAAUUCUCAACUCUAUUUGCUUUUGUGAAUAGAGCUUGGAUUUGGAGGUUUAUUGCUGGUACUUGUGAUCGGCUCCUCUUGAAUGCAUUAGCUCGAACCUUUGCGGAUCAGCUAUCGGUGUGAUAAUUGUCUACGCCGUUGCAGUGAAGCAUAUCAAUGUGCUCGGCUUCCAAUCGUCCUUUACUGGACAAUGACUUUGACCUUUGACCUCAAAUCAGGUAGGAUUACCCGCUGAACUUCAGC
RNAcentral lists this unclassified non-coding RNA (350 nucleotides) under plant metagenome. Its description in RNAcentral is "partial contains 5.8S ribosomal RNA, internal transcribed spacer 2, and large subunit ribosomal RNA". The stretch from base 1 to 105 matches the Rfam family "5.8S ribosomal RNA", at positions 50 to 154 of the family's 154-position model. The record is from RNAcentral.